Molecule: long non-coding RNA, 815 nt
Organism: Hirundo rustica (Barn swallow)
Lineage: Eukaryota; Metazoa; Chordata; Aves; Passeriformes; Hirundinidae
Exons: 3
Source: RefSeq, a predicted model, not a curated record
CCCUUAUCAAGUAAAGUUGUGCUUGCGCUGGAGUUGGAGAUUUGUCUCUGUGUGCUUCAGUCGUGUUGCAGGAGUUGACAUGUAUAUAAAAACCACUCAAAUCAAACACAAAUUAAACAUUGAUAAGGAUGCUGAAGUAUCCUGCUUCUACCUGAUUGUUUCCUCCUUUAACUGCUUGUAUUAUUGCUGAAACACAGUUUUCCACGCCGUGCAACUUACUGGAAUAGCAGCUGUAGAAGGGUUCAGUGAUUCCACAGGUUCUUCUGGCGCCGUGGCCACGAGCCCAUCGUGCUCUGAACGUGGGUUGUGAGGAGAACCAGGGAGUGCUGUGCCGUGCCCACACCCAGAAAGUCACCUCAGAGUCAGUGAAACUGAGUCACUGGAGCACACACAUCUUGGCAGAGCUCUCCUGGCAGCAGGAGCCCUUGUGCUGUUCGGGACUGCUUGGCCCUGGAGAUGAGCCAGGCUUUGCCAGCUCACAUCCAAAGUGUGUGGACAAAUGCAAAUCUUGCACAAACAAGGAACGCUGUGUUGCUAAAACUGUAAAGCACGCGAGAACUAGCGCGGGCAAAUGUGAGCUGUUUAUGAAAAAUGUGUUGGAAGUGCCAUAGGGUGGGAUUAUCACUUAUAAAGAUCUCACUCCCACAGCCUAGAAUAGCUUAAAGGUGCUGGAAAAUAAGGUUCUGCUCUGCUCUCUGGAGAUCAUGUCUAUUUUGUCUUAAUUAUUAUAGCUCUGAAUAGUGUUGCUCGUUAAUGCCAUGUUGUGAAAUCCUUGAUGCGCUCAGCACUCCAACCACCAGCGCAGAAGAUAAAUA